Molecule: long non-coding RNA, 539 nt
Filed under: Citrus maxima (pomelo)
Lineage: Eukaryota; Viridiplantae; Streptophyta; Magnoliopsida; Sapindales; Rutaceae
Description: long non-coding RNA (CMAX_LNC003828)
Source: RNAcentral
AGAGAGCAUGGAUACACUUUUUGUAAGUAUAAAAUUAUUGCUUUGAAUAAAAUUCUUAUUAUAACUAUCUAUUUUGUUGACGUAAUUAGCUGAACUAAAAUGUUGUGUCUAGUAAGCAUAAAGCAGAAAAGGUCAGGCAAGAAGGGAUCAAAAACAUUUGUAGGGCGACAAUUGUUGAAAAAUGGAAGAAAUUAACGAAUGAGGAGAAGUGCCGAUUUGGUACAAUGCAUGAGGACCCAAGUUUAAAUGUUAGUGAAAGGAGUAUUGAAAAAACAGAUGAAGAACAAAAAAAUGGGGAUAAGCAUAGCCAAUGUAAUUUAUCUCGUUAUCGUGUCAGUGCAUUCACUAAGGUCAUUUCCACAUUGUCGCCCGACCAACAAGCUGCAAUUAGAGAAAUUGGCUUCGGAAGCAUGCCAAAAUUACGAUGUGGUCGCCUGAGACAAGACUUCUGUGAAACACUUGUCCAACAAAGUGAUACAAAGAGGCAUUAUAUAGUUUUGCACAGUAGAGAGUUUUGUUUAAACCCUAUAACCUUCAGC